This 1369-nucleotide ribosomal RNA is filed under the name uncultured bacterium. RNAcentral's name for it is "bacterial SSU rRNA". It matches the Rfam family "Bacterial small subunit ribosomal RNA". The record is from RNAcentral.
AGAGUUUGAUCCUGGCUCAGGAUUAACGCUGGCGGCGUGCUUAACACAUGCAAGUCGAACGAGGCAUACCUUCGGGUAUGCCGAGUGGCGGACGGGUGAGUAACGCGUGGGGAACCUGCCCGGUACAGGGGGACAACAGUUGGAAACGGCUGCUAAUACCGCAUAAGCGCACGGGGACGCAUGUCCAUGUGUGAAAAGAUUUAUCGGUACCGGAUGGACCCGCGUCUGAUUAGCCUGUUGGUGAGGUAACGGCCCACCAAAGCAACGAUCAAUAGCCGAUCUGAGAGGAUGACCGGCCACAUUGGGACUGAGAGACGGCCCAAACUCCUACGGGAGGCAGCAGUGGGGAAUAUUGCACAAUGGAGGAAACUCUGAUGCAGCGACGCCGCGUGAGUGAAGAAGUAUUUCGGUAUGUAAAGCUCUAUCAGCAGGGAAAAGAAUGAUGGUACCUGAUUAAGAAGCACCGGCUAAAUACGUGCCAGCAGCCGCGGUAAUACGUAUGGUGCAAGCGUUAUCCGGAUUUACUGGGUGUAAAGGGAGCGCAGGUGGCAUGGCAAGCCAGAAGUGAAAGCCCGCGGCUUAACUGCGGGACUGCUUUUGGAACUGUUGUGCUGGAGUGCAGGAGGGGUAAGCGGAAUUCCUGGUGUAGCGGUGAAAUGCGUAGAUAUCAGGAGGAACACCGGUGGCGAAGGCGGCUUACUGGACUGUAACUGACACUGAGGCUCGAAAGCGUGGGGAGCAAACAGGAUUAGAUACCCUGGUAGUCCACGCGGUAAACGAUGAAUACCAGGUGUCGGGGAUCGAAGAUUCCCGGUGCCGUCGCAAACGCAGUAAGUAUUCCACCUGGGGAGUACGUUCGCAAGAAUGAAACUCAAAGGAAUUGACGGGGACCCGCACAAGCGGUGGAGCAUGUGGUUUAAUUCGAAGCAACGCGAAGAACCUUACCUGCUCUUGACAUCCCUCUGAAUGAGCGGCAAUGCGCUCAGGCCUUCGGGACAGGGGAGACAGGUGGUGCAUGGUUGUCGUCAGCUCGUGUCGUGAGAUGUUGGGUUAAGUCCCGCAACGAGCGCAACCCUUAUCUUCAGUAGCCAGCAUGAAAGAUGGGAACUCUGGAGAGACUGCCCGGGAUAACCGGGAGGAAGGCGGGGAUGACGUCAAAUCAUCAUGCCCCUUAUGAGCAGGGCUACACACGUGCUACAAUGGCGUAAACAAAGAGAAGCGAGGCUGUGAAGCGGAGCGAAUCUCAAAAAUAACGUCUCAGUUCGGAUUGUAGUCUGCAACUCGACUACAUGAAGCUGGAAUCGCUAGUAAUCGCAGAUCAGAAUGCUGCGGUGAAUACGUUCCCGGGUCUUGCACUCACCGCCCGUCA